This 2579-nucleotide long non-coding RNA is filed under the name Homo sapiens (human). RNAcentral's name for it is "HSALNT0340453". The record is from RNAcentral. Lineage: Eukaryota; Metazoa; Chordata; Mammalia; Primates; Hominidae.
GCAGAAUUUUAUCUGUGGCUGUCUGGUCCUUUUAAUAUCGGUAGUACCAAUAUGGUUUCCAAGGACAUGAUGUACUCCCAGUGCCUAUUGUAAUUUUAUUUUUUAGCUAUUUUUAUUGGAAUGAAUGAAUAAACUAUUAAAAUACAAAGAAUCCUUUUAUAACUAUAAAGGAAAUGUGUAAAAAGCAAUGAAAAGGAUAAGAAAUGGUUUCUAAAUUGAACAGUUUGUUUUAUUAUUAACAAUAACAAUAAAGUAAGUCACACAGCUCAUAAGUCCUCCCAGAUGAGACAUCUGUGGGAUUCUCUAGUUUGAAAAGAAACUUAGCUUAUAAACAUGUCAGCCAUGUCCCGAAUAAAAUGAGGAUUUCGCACUACAUGGAAAUGAAACUAUUUGUUCUUCAACAUGUCCAAGAUUCAGUGUUAUUUUAAGAUGCUUUUCCUUCCAAUUAAAUAGGACAUGUUUUCCAUCAGCUGCAGAGGGAAAAGGUACCAGUAACUUUGAUGAAUAUAAAUUGCUUAAGCUACUAAACUUAAGAUCAUAGGCUGUCAACCACUGAUACAAAAUCUAAAUCCAAUCCAGCUCACAGUGUAAAGAGUCUGAACCUUUGUUAGCAAAGAUCAUCUCCAUAUUCUGGUUACCACAUUUGACCUUUAAUGAGUUGGGACAGCUAAAUGAUUUUGAAGAUGGGAGUGGUGUAACUAGUUAUAACUGUAACUAGUUCCUAAAAAUUUACCGUACUUUUUUUUUUUUUGUGGCAUGAAAAAGAAAAGAAAAAAGAAAGGAGAGAGGUGUAUUUAGUAGCCAUUGAGAUACACAACAUAAAGGGAGUUAGUGAAAGCUUCUCUUUUUCCAUGCCCCUGUCCCAGAAACAAUGUGAGGACUUGUCCUCUGCCUCUAAGGUGAUGUCAGUUUUAUCAAUGACAACGUGUCAAUUAAAUGCUCCCAACUUUGUAUGCAAUGCUUUUCAACUUUCACUGACUCUAUUCGACUCUCUUCUCUGCUCACGGCAAUAAUGAAUCAUGAUAUAUUACAACAAAAAUUAAAGAAGCACAAUACACUUCCUGAAGGCUCCACAAAUGGGAAGAAGGGAAUGGAAAGAAUGUGGCCUUCAGCAUCAUACAAAUCCAUCACUUAAGAGCAUUAUGACCUCGGUCAAACUAUUUCACUUCUGCCGAGGAAGUGGGGGGCAUUUUCAUCAACUAUAAUAUGGAGGACAAUAGUUUUUCACAGAGUUGUGGCGGAUAGUAUAAACAUAAUAUAUUUUGAAGCACCUAGCACAGGGUAAUUUUUAAAUUUUUUGGUUUCUUACUUAGAAUAUUAAAUAUACAGAGAAUUAUUUUUUUUCUGAUGUCUUAUGCAACCUCUUUUUUCAUAUUCAGGGCCAAUGGCUACCCUAAAGUAAAAUGAUUCAUUCAUGACAGAAAAAAGGAGACUUUGCCCAUAAACUUCUCCUAAACUAUUAUAGAAAUGAUGCUUUGAGGAUCUCAUCUUCAUUCUAAACGUAGCAGAGUGGCUUGAAGGGUUAAGUGCCACACAGGACCUGACUAAAAUCCUGUGAAGAGAGGAGGGGUGUCCCCAGCUGUUCUCACUGUGCAUAAUCCUGGAAGAAGUUCAUGGUGCUUCCUGUAUUAACAUCCUUGCAAGUGGUACCUGCCUCUCUGAGGAUCCAGCUACGCAAUGAAUCUGAGAAAGCUUAAAAUCGGAAAUGCUGCUCUAGUAAUGGUUCUCAAACCCUGGUGGUCUUGACAUACAGGUCUUAUUAAAACACAGUUGCUGGGCUCCACCUAAGAGAUCUGGAUUCUGAAUUUGUAUGUCUAACAAGUUUCCAGAAGUUUGAUGCCACAAUGGAUGCUACCAAUGACACCAUUUGAUUUGGAAAUAAGGAGAUAGGCCCAAGUUUUUAUCGGACACACCCCUCAUUCUUCGUUCAUCACAGCAUCCCUGAAAUUGAAAGCCAGCAGCGACCCGAGUCAAUUUUCUACACUCAAAUUUGCAUGCCUGGUGUAAAUUUCCAGGAGCUUUCCUCCUGGAAAGCCAGUGUCUCAUACGCCUCCCAGCAAACACUGACCACAUCCUGAACGAAGCUAAGCACUGUGUAAUGCUAAGCAGACCUGGGCCCGUAGGAAACAAGAUGCCACAUUCGGGACAGCUGUCAGCACUCAUCCAACACCCUGCCUUCCACUCGUCCAUCCCUGCAAUUAGUGAGGAGUGAGGUUUGGAGCUGUGCCAAUUCAACCUGGAAUGGGAAACAUCGAGCUCUGACACCCUUAAGAGCUACCAAGAUUUUGUGAUGGAAAUGAAGCUGACAGUUUUGUCAGGGAUGUGAGAAGCAGAAUCAGAUUCAGCUAGUUCCUGCGGAGAUGUGCUGGCUCUAUCAAGAUGAAGAUAAUAAAAGUAAGUUUGGUGGGUAAAAUGGGUAGAUAUAACUCAAAGACACAUGGGAAGAGAUACUGAGCGAAAGGAUGACAUUUCACACAUUACUGAUCAGGGGAGCAGUGCCUUGGCCAAGGGUUCGGUAACCACUGGAUGGAAAGGAGAGACUUGAGUGUUUCCCUAGGAUCACCUACGUCCUACAUUUA